This 74-nucleotide transfer RNA is filed under the name Cordylochernes scorpioides. RNAcentral's name for it is "tRNA-Ser". It matches the Rfam family "tRNA", at positions 8 to 63 of the family's 71-position model. From Rfam's summary of the family: Transfer RNA (tRNA) molecules are approximately 80 nucleotides in length. Their secondary structure includes four short double-helical elements and three loops (D, anti-codon, and T loops). Lineage: Eukaryota; Metazoa; Arthropoda; Arachnida; Pseudoscorpiones; Chernetidae. The record is from RNAcentral.
AUGGUUAAGUGGUUAAGGCGAUAGACUAGAAAUCUAUUGGGAUCUUCCCGCACAGGUUCGAAUCCUGUCGACUG